UAAACGACUCUCGGCAACGGAUAUCUCGGCUCUCGCAUCGAUGAAGAACGUAGCGAACUGCGAUACUUGGUGUGAAUUGCAGAAUCCCGUGAACCAUCGAGUCUUUGAACGCAAGUUGCGCCCGAAGCCAUUAGGCCAAGGGCACGUCUGCCUGGGCGUCACGC
RNAcentral lists this ribosomal RNA (164 nucleotides) under Crawfurdia tibetica. RNAcentral's name for it is "5.8S ribosomal RNA". It matches the Rfam family "5.8S ribosomal RNA". From Rfam's summary of the family: 5.8S ribosomal RNA (5.8S rRNA) is a component of the large subunit of the eukaryotic ribosome. It is transcribed by RNA polymerase I as part of the 45S precursor that also contains 18S and 28S rRNA. Functionally, it is thought that 5.8S rRNA may be involved in ribosome translocation. RNAcentral also lists the same sequence under 17 other names. Lineage: Eukaryota; Viridiplantae; Streptophyta; Magnoliopsida; Gentianales; Gentianaceae. The record is from RNAcentral.